AAAGAGUGUGAUGGUGCCUGGGAUACACCACCAUGGGAUCUAAGCUUCCCUGCUAUAUCACCCUGCCCAGCACAGCGCUUCAGCCUUUGCUUAACCCUGGAGAUGUGCUCAGGUCAAGCGAUGUCCUCAGGGCUCAGAGUUGGGGUCAGUUCUGUUUAACAUCUUUCUCCAUGAUCUGGAUAAGGAGAUCGAGUGCUCUCUCACUCAUCACUCAAUGCCAGCUGCCAUCUUAAUGUACCCUGUUUUCCACACGCAAACAGCAGCUCAGUGCUGGAGGUGCUAAUUCUACAGGACUCCACUUCAUCAAAUAUUCCCUCUCCUGAGGCAGUGCCAUGUGAUGGUGGGAUUCCCUCUCCCAGAUCCAUUGCAUUUCCAGUCACACUUCGAGCUGCUUACAGAGCUCGGACAGAGAAAAAGAAAAGCGAUUCUGCUUUGCUCUGGCCAGUGAGGGAAGGAGGGAGCUGUGGUGAUGGGUUUGCUCCAUCCUCUGCCUCCCUGUCCCCCAGAGGCUACACUUGAGCAGACCAUGGCCAUGGGUCACCCCGACCAGUGACAGCGCUGCCUCUCCCAGCUACACUGGUCAAGUCACCAUUUUCCAGGCAUACU
Long non-coding RNA from Cuculus canorus (common cuckoo), 606 nucleotides. RefSeq lists it as uncharacterized. NCBI's taxonomy places the organism in Eukaryota, Metazoa, Chordata, Aves, Cuculiformes, Cuculidae. The record is from RefSeq and is a predicted model, not a curated record. The transcript is spliced from 3 exons.